GAUUUCUAAUGUCGCUAAAGAAAAUUAUAUUUAAUAUAUGCUUAAGCCAUAUUAAAAAAAACGUCGUAAAUAACUGAGAAAAGCUUCAUCCAUGCACAGAGUUUUCUCAAUUCAAAUGAGAGUUGAAAGUGUGGGGCUUUCGCAGUCUAUAAAGGUCUACAUAAUAGCAAUGAUACAUUAACUGAAAUCUUUGUGUGCAGCCAGAACAUAUGUCGGUCUUGACUAAAUCGGAUGACUAUGCAAUAUAGUAUUUGUCGUUACUCGAAAUACAUGGUAUACGUUUAGUUCUGAUGUCGUGUGAGAUAAGGCAGCAAUGUAUGAUCAUUUGGUAACAUAGAUGUCGUAAUACCUAUAUUUGGUUGCCCAGAAGGGCAAGUGGCAAACCCUUUAACGCUUCGCUAAGCAAACAUGCAAGCUAUGGCCAGCUGGGUCAAAUGAGUAUUGCUUGAAUGCAAGUGUCGCAGAGACAGUCAAAAUACAUUAGGCCAAGAGCAAGAAACAAAAGGGAGGGUAAGACUGUGCUGCUUCAUAGACAAACACAGGCGACACUUUGACAAUUGACAAUUGGCUCGUCGCGGCGGCAAAUAUUGCAGAAGAGAACGGAAGUGCCAUAUAAAGCAGGUUCCAUGGCCUAAGCCGUUAAGGCCCAGACACUAAUAAUGUAUGCUUGGGCUUCAGAAAAAAACAUUUGUAUGGAGAAAGUUUUGACAUAUAUGUUAAAAAUUGGAACAAGUAUAG
Long non-coding RNA from Drosophila hydei, 738 nucleotides. RefSeq lists it as uncharacterized. The record is from RefSeq and is a predicted model, not a curated record. The transcript is spliced from 3 exons. Lineage: Eukaryota; Metazoa; Arthropoda; Insecta; Diptera; Drosophilidae.